GCGGAACUAACAGAUUUACUUCGGUAAUGACGUUAGGAAAGCGAGCGGCGGAUGGGUGAGUAACACGUGGGGAACCUGCCCCAUAGUCUGGGAUACCACUUGGAAACAGGUGCUAAUACCGGAUAAGAAAGCAGAUCGCAUGAUCAGCUUUUAAAAGGCGGCGUAAGCUGUCGCUAUGGGAUGGCCCCGCGGUGCAUUAGCUAGUUGGUAAGGUAAAGGCUUACCAAGGCGAUGAUGCAUAGCCGAGUUGAGAGACUGAUCGGCCACAUUGGGACUGAGACACGGCCCAAACUCCUACGGGAGGCAGCAGUAGGGAAUCUUCCACAAUGGACGCAAGUCUGAUGGAGCAACGCCGCGUGAGUGAAGAAGGUUUUCGGAUCGUAAAGCUCUGUUGUUGGUGAAGAAGGAUAGAGGUAGUAACUGGCCUUUAUUUGACGGUAAUCAACCAGAAAGUCACGGCUAACUACGUGCCAGCAGCCGCGGUAAUACGUAGGUGGCAAGCGUUGUCCGGAUUUAUUGGGCGUAAAGCGAGCGCAGGCGGAAGAAUAAGUCUGAUGUGAAAGCCCUCGGCUUAACCGAGGAACUGCAUCGGAAACUGUUUUUCUUGAGUGCAGAAGAGGAGAGUGGAACUCCAUGUGUAGCGGUGGAAUGCGUAGAUAUAUGGAAGAACACCAGUGGC
RNAcentral lists this ribosomal RNA (679 nucleotides) under uncultured Bacilli bacterium. RNAcentral's name for it is "bacterial SSU rRNA". It matches the Rfam family "Bacterial small subunit ribosomal RNA", at positions 61 to 716 of the family's 1533-position model. Lineage: Bacteria; Bacillati; Bacillota; Bacilli. The record is from RNAcentral.